This 863-nucleotide ribosomal RNA is filed under the name uncultured bacterium. Its description in RNAcentral is "bacterial SSU rRNA". It matches the Rfam family "Bacterial small subunit ribosomal RNA", at positions 60 to 966 of the family's 1533-position model. The record is from RNAcentral.
AGUCNACGGGAAUCUUCGGAUUCUAGUGGCGGACGGGUGAGUAACGCGUAAGAAUCUAACUUCAGGACGGGGACAACAGUUGGAAACGACUGCUAAUACCCGAUGUGCCGAAAGGUGAAACCUAAUUGGCCUGAAGAAGAGCUUGCGUCUGAUUAGCUAGUUGGUGGGAUAAGAGCCUACCAAGGCGACGAUCAGUAGCUGGUCUGAGAGGAUGAGCAGCCACACUGGGACUGAGACACGGCCCAGACUCCUACGGGAGGCAGCAGUGGGGAAUUUUCCGCAAUGGGCGAAAGCCUGACGGAGCAACGCCGCGUGAGGGAGGAAGGUCUUUGGAUUGUAAACCUCUUUUCUCAAGGAAGAAGUUCUGACGGUACUUGAGGAAUCAGCCUCGGCUAACUCCGUGCCAGCAGCCGCGGUAAUACGGGGGAGGCAAGCGUUAUCCGGAAUUAUUGGGCGUAAAGCGUCCGCAGGUGGUCAGCCAAGUCUGCCGUCAAAUCAGGUUGCUUAACGACCUAAAGGCGGUGGAAACUGGCAGACUAGAGAGCAGUAGGGGUAGCAGGAAUUCCCAGUGUAGCGGUGAAAUGCGUAGAGAUUGGGAAGAACAUCGGUGGCGAAAGCGUGCUACUGGGCUGUAUCUGACACUCAGGGACGAAAGCUAGGGGAGCGAAAGGGAUUAGAUACCCCUGUAGUCCUAGCCGUAAACGAUGGAUACUAGGCGUGGCUUGUAUCGACCCGAGCCGUGCCGAAGCUAACGCGUUAAGUAUCCCGCCUGGGGAGUACGCACGCAAGUGUGAAACUCAAAGGAAUUGACGGGGGCCCGCACAAGCGGNGGAGUAUGUGGNUUAAUUCGAUGCAACGCGAAG